CAGUCGCCGCGGGAAUACGUAGGGUGCAAGCGUUAAUCGGAAUUACUGGGCGUAAAGCGUGCGCAGGCGGUUAUAUAAGACAGAUGUGAAAUCCCGGGCUCAACCUGGGAACUGCAUUUGUGACUGUAUAGCUAGAGUACGGCAGAGGGGGAUGGAAUUCCGCGUGUAGCAGUGAAAUGCGUAGAUAUGCGGAGGAACACCGAUGGCGAAGGCAAUCCCCUGGGCCUGUACUGACGCUCAUGCACGAAAGCGUGGGGAGCAAACAGGAUUAGAGACCCCAGUAGUCCCUGUCUCUUAUACA
Molecule: ribosomal RNA, 301 nt
Filed under: uncultured bacterium
Lineage: Bacteria
Description: partial 16S ribosomal RNA
Rfam family: Bacterial small subunit ribosomal RNA
Source: RNAcentral